Molecule: long non-coding RNA, 384 nt
Organism: Trichosurus vulpecula (common brushtail)
Lineage: Eukaryota; Metazoa; Chordata; Mammalia; Diprotodontia; Phalangeridae
Exons: 3
Source: RefSeq, a predicted model, not a curated record
CCCUGUCACUGUAACAAUAGAUGCCUGCAGCCCUCUUCCAGCUCUAUGUUCUAAGAACCCUCGGCUCUCCUAUUCUUCAGAAUAGAGAAGGUCCCUUAUGGCCACUGACUGGAGACAACUACCUACUUCUCUUGCCCCAGCCUCUGAAACCAUUGAGGAAUCAGCUCCAGCCCUCUUUCCAGCUUUCAAGUCCCUAGGAAGGAGCCUCUAGAGACACCUGGCUGCCCAGUGACCCCACACAGGGGUAAGGAUAGUCCCAUCUUUAGGUACCUUCCUGGCUUCCGGAAAAAGAGCUCAGGAUCUGACCCCAUUCCCGUGCUCCAGCCCCGGCUGUGUUCCCAGUCGUCCAGUCAGCAGUUCUGCCCCCGACCCAUUACCUCGCAG